RNAcentral lists this ribosomal RNA (402 nucleotides) under Triticum aestivum (bread wheat). RNAcentral describes it as "partial small subunit ribosomal RNA". The record is from RNAcentral. Lineage: Eukaryota; Viridiplantae; Streptophyta; Magnoliopsida; Poales; Poaceae.
AUGGGAAAAGAAUUUGACCUAAAGGCGUUGCUGUUCGUGACCAUCAAUGAUUGGCCUGCUCUCAGUAACCUUUCAGGACAGACAAACAAGGGAUACCGCGCAUGCACGCACUGUUUGGACGAUACCGACAGUAUAUAUUUGGCUAAUAAGAAUGUGUACCUGGGACAUCGUCGAUUUCUUCCGAGCAGGCAUCCCGUAAGAAAGAAAGGCAAGCAUUUCAAAGGUGAGGCGGAUCACCGGACGAAGCCUCGCCACCGUACUGGUGCUGAUGUACAUGAUAUGGUCAAGGAUUUGAAGGUGGUAUUUGGAAAGGGUCCUGGUGGACAACCUGUUCCGAAUGACGCUGACGGACGCGCACCCAUGUGGAAGAAGAAAUCUAUAUUUUGGGACCUGCCCUAUUAG